Molecule: long non-coding RNA, 106 nt
Organism: Maniola jurtina (meadow brown)
Lineage: Eukaryota; Metazoa; Arthropoda; Insecta; Lepidoptera; Nymphalidae
Exons: 3
Source: RefSeq, a predicted model, not a curated record
UAGAGGUUUUUGUAGGUAUAUUUGUGUCAGCCCCAUUAUAAUCUAAGUGCAUGAAAUCAAAAUAAGAAAUUCUUAAGCUAUCAAAAUAUUACAAAUCGAACAAAAA